Molecule: ribosomal RNA, 484 nt
Filed under: uncultured bacterium
Lineage: Bacteria
Description: partial 16S ribosomal RNA
Rfam family: Bacterial small subunit ribosomal RNA
Source: RNAcentral
AUUGAACGCUGGCGGCAGGCCUAACACAUGCAAGUCGAGCGGAUGAAGGGAGCCUGCUCCUGGAUUCAGCGGCGGACGGGUGAGUAAUGCCUAGGAAUCUGCCUGGUAGUGGGGGAUAACGUCCGGAAACGGGCGCUAAUACCGCAUACGUCCUGAGGGAGAAAGUGGGGGAUCUUCGGACCUCACGCUAUCAGAUGAGCCUAGGUCGGAUUAGCUAGUUGGUGGGGUAAAGGCCUACCAAGGCGACGAUCCGUAACUGGUCUGAGAGGAUGAUCAGUCACACUGGAACUGAGACACGGUCCAGACUCCUACGGGAGGCAGCAGUGGGGAAUAUUGGACAAUGGGCGAAAGCCUGAUCCAGCCAUGCCGCGUGUGUGAAGAAGGUCUUCGGAUUGUAAAGCACUUUAAGUUGGGAGGAAGGGGAGUAAGUUAAUACCUUGCUGUUUUGACGUUACCAACAGAAUAAGCACCGGCUAACUUCGUG